RNAcentral lists this ribosomal RNA (433 nucleotides) under uncultured bacterium. RNAcentral's name for it is "partial 16S ribosomal RNA". It matches the Rfam family "Bacterial small subunit ribosomal RNA", at positions 29 to 507 of the family's 1533-position model. The record is from RNAcentral.
AACGAACGCUGGCGGCAUGCCUAACACAUGCAAGUCGAACGAGACCUUCGGGUCUAGUGGCGCACGGGUGCGUAACGCGUGGGAACCUGCCCUUAGGUUCGGAAUAACUCACCGAAAGGGGUGCUAAUACCGGAUAAUGUCUUCGGACCAAAGAUUUAUCGCCUUUGGAUGGGCCCGCGUUGGAUUAGCUAGUUGGUAGGGUAAAAGCCUACCAAGGCGACGAUCCAUAGCUGGUCUGAGAGGAUGAUCAGCCACACUGGGACUGAGACACGGCCCAGACUCCUACGGGAGGCAGCAGUGGGGAAUAUUGGACAAUGGGCGAAAGCCUGAUCCAGCAAUGCCGCGUGAGUGAUGAAGGCUUUAGGGUUGUAAAGCUCUUUUACCCGGGAUGAUAAUGACAGUACCGGGAGAAUAAGCUCCGGCUAACUCCGUG